UGACAACAUGCAUUUCCCUUCCCCUUGUCCU
Molecule: non-coding RNA, 31 nt
Filed under: Mus musculus (house mouse)
Lineage: Eukaryota; Metazoa; Chordata; Mammalia; Rodentia; Muridae
Source: RNAcentral